Molecule: ribosomal RNA, 253 nt
Filed under: uncultured bacterium
Lineage: Bacteria
Description: partial 16S ribosomal RNA
Rfam family: Bacterial small subunit ribosomal RNA
Source: RNAcentral
UACGUAGGGUGCGAGCGUUAAUCGGAAUUACUGGGCGUAAAGCGUGUGUAGGCUGCUACAUAAGUCGGAUGUGAAAGCCCCGGGCUCAACCCGGGAAGUGCACUCGAUACUGCGUAGCUUGAGUCUCGGAGAGGUUGGUGGAAUUCUCGGUGUAGAGGUGAAAUUCGUAGAUAUCGAGAGGAACACCGGUGGCGAAGGCGGCCAACUGGACGAAGACUGACGCUGAGACACGAAAGCGUGGGGAGCAAACAGG